Molecule: long non-coding RNA, 2192 nt
Organism: Rattus norvegicus (Norway rat)
Lineage: Eukaryota; Metazoa; Chordata; Mammalia; Rodentia; Muridae
Source: RefSeq, a predicted model, not a curated record
CGCUUACAUAAGCACUGACGAGUGGCUGGGUGCAAGGACACCUUCAGCAGCAUUUGUUUAAGGAACUGCUGAGACGCACCGUCCAUGAAUUGAAUUGUUAUCUUGCUGGGAUUGGGCUUUUCCCUCAUGCAUAAGCCUACCACAACUCACCCAAGUUCCUGCAAGUAACUCUCCAAAACCAUCCAUUUGCCAAGCUGGACUUGGUUGGCAUUGUUUCUGUGUUCUGCCUUUCCUCUAUCUGUGUUGAAGCCACAGACACCCCCUUUUCUGGAUCCACAAUAUCCAGAACCCAUUUCAAGCACGCAUCAACUGGAGACGAUUCCUUCAUUCAUCAGAAGGAUUUGCAUGCCAAAGAAGAAGUCCAGCAGUAUGAAAAAGCUCUAAUAGGUCCUGCUGAUUUUCUGAAACGCUGGUGGCAGAACAUGAAGAAAUGAAUUAUGGCGGAAAUCAAAAUUCCUGUUAAGUAACGAAAACAAAUUAAACGAGGUCCACCGCAUCAGACUUUCAUCUGGACUGGAUUUGGAAUCACCUUAGUUAGAGACUGAUGCACGCCUCUAUUGGGCCAUCCUUUAAAGCCCAUGAACCCACCCUGAAUGGAAGGGGCAUCAUUGCCCAGCUUAGAAUCUAGAAGAAGGAAGGAGGCCGAAUGCAGGAAAGCUAGCCCACAGCUGGUAGUCCAACAGUUCCUGGUCGAACUGUCCUGAUCUACCACACUCUCCUGAAAGCCCGGGACCCAGUGGCCAUUGGCUGAGCUCACUAAAAGUACACAAAAGACCUUUCAUAAGUCGUGUUUGCUGGGGUUUGCUCUUGUUAUAGUGACAUAAGGAAUGGAGGUACACUGGGGUACCACAGGGCUUCAUUGUCCCGUGGUGGAAGAAGCCUGGUGGCGUAUAUCUGCAUCUGCAGCUGGGGGCAAGGGCAGAUGUUCCCUUCCAGCUCCUGUGUUACAGAUGCAGAUCCCAGCUCAGAUGGAGGCACUCGGACUCUCUGGGGUCCUCUGGGGCUGUGGCUCUUAACUCAAUGGGCAGUUAGAGGAGAUCUGAUCGUUUAGGAAAAAUACAGACACUUGGAUCUGUGUCAGACCCGGACCUCAGUCUGCAGUCAAGCACUCAUGAGAGGAUCUGUAGCCUUUCUGUAGAUCGUUUAUAUGAAGUCCGUUUUCCCAUGUAGCCUCUGUCUCCCGUGUGCAGCCAGCCAGGAAGGGUUCCAGGCUUCUGCUGCCAUGGCUACUUUGUCACACUAGUCCCAAGAACCUCCUUCUCCACUGAUCUCCCAACACCCUGCCUCAGCUGUGGUGACCAAGGAUCUCAACUGUUCUCCAGGCAAGGCUUUGGAAGUAACCUUCCAGGGUCCUGUGUCACAAACAUGGCACUCAACUUCUUCUGUCGAUGGACUUUCGGAGGAGGGUUUGCGGGGAGGGGUAAUUUGGACUAGAUGAGGGUGAAGUUAUCACCAAGGUGUCUCUCAGCCAGGACCCUCCCUGAUUGGUCUAUUCAACCCAAGCCCCACCCGCACAGGUUGAGGCAGGUGAGGUUCCAGGAACCUCAGCUCUUACAGUAAAUGGAAACAUUUUAACAGUGCAACAAAAUGGCUCCUGCCUUCAAAGUGAAGCCGGGCUUGGUCCUCCCACCUCUACUUUUGAUUUAUUAAUAGAGAGCGAUUAUGCAAUCACAAAUAAGAUUUUUGUAAUAUUUUCAUCUUAAUUCUAAGUCUGUGGGAAUUACCUUCCCAGACUUAUUUAUUUGCUUUCACAAGCCACAUGUUUCCAGGGUGCCUUUUACAUCUUCUUAACCUACUGGAGAAAAUGAGUGAUGCUCUCCGUCAGCUGAACAGUGUCCUGUAAUUUAACGUUAAUAUUAGGGCAGGAGAAGACUCCCCCAAAGCCCAGUGACUGCCAUUGGCUCACACUGCUUCACGAGCUAAGGGCAGGGCCUGGACUUGAAGUUUUUCCAAAGAAGUAUUUUUUCUGAGAGGGUGCUGGCCUCCUCUUUAAUUCACUCGAUAAACACACACAGGGAACAUGUUAAAUUUUUCUGUGCUUCCUAACUGCCUCAUUGUCUUCUGUAAAUCUGCUUCGCAACCACUCAAACAUGUACUCCUCGAAAGGGCCCGAAGAAACAGAGUUAACCCAACUUAGGAUGCAGUCACUGGUCUCUGCUGUACCCCAGUAAAAUACAGCUUGCUUAAAACUG